This is a long non-coding RNA of Oncorhynchus tshawytscha (Chinook salmon), 643 nucleotides long. The record is from Ensembl. Lineage: Eukaryota; Metazoa; Chordata; Actinopteri; Salmoniformes; Salmonidae.
UUUGUGGGAGAUCUGCCGACGUGCCCUUGAGCAGGGCGUUGACCCUGGACGCUUCUGUGUGUCGCUCUGAACGGGAGUCUGUUGGAUAACUGGUGUAGUGUAGGUCUGUUGGAUAACUGGUGUGGUGUAGGUCUGUUGGAUAACUGGUGUAGUGUAGGUCUCUUGGAUAACUGGUGUAGUGUAGGUGUGUUGGAUAACUGGUGUUGUGUAGGUCUGUUGGAUGACUGGUGUGGUGUAGUGUAGGUCUGUUGGAUAACUGGUGUGGUGUAGGUCUGUUGGAUAACUGGUGUGGUGUAGUGUAGGUCUGUUGGAUAACUGGUGUAGUGUAGUGUAGGUCUGUUGGAUAACUGGUGUGGUGUAGUGUAGGUCUGUUGGAUAACUGGUGUGGUGUAGGUCUGUUGGAUAACUGGUGUGGUGUAGGUCUGUUGGAUAACUGGUGUGGUGUACUGUAGGUCUGUUGGAUAAGUGGUAUGAUGUUGUGUUGGUCUGUUGGAGAACUGGUGUGGUGUAGUGUAGGUCUGGAUAACUGGUGUUGUGUAGUGUAGGUCUGUUGGAUAACUGGUGUGGUGUAGUGUAGGUCUGUUGGAUAACUGGUGUUGUGUAGUGUAGGUCUGGAUAACUGGUGUGGUGUAGUGUAGGUCUG